GGCCGAAGGUGAAGAAAAGUUGACGGGUUUGGCAAAACAUUUCAAUAGUCAAACACUAUAUGGUCGGAGGAAUGUGACAGUUGCAACAUACGUUGGUAUAGGAUUGAUUGCCUUGUACUUCUACGUGAGAUCGAAGAGUAAAAAGACGUAACUUAUAGUCAGAAUUGCAGUCGCAUUAUGUAAUAACGAUACAUGUGCCGUAUCAUAAUAUUCUUUAAAUAAAUGUAAUCGAAAUAUCCUUUUGGAAAUUUAUCUUAUUUUUGGUGCUUGUUCCAGUCAGUCUCUAACUGUUUAAUGAUCAUAGGUAAUUAUUUGCUAAGAAUAUGUAUCAUUUAAUAAUCACGUUUAAUCAAGAAAGUAAUUUUAUAUUUGUUGUUUAUUUUAUUGAAAUCAUAAUAAAAAAUAUGUUAGCAAAAAAAAAGGAGAAAUUAUUAAACAGAGUAUUCAUUUAAUUCUUAUCGCAUUUCAAGUAUUUCUCAUUGUAUGUUUACUCUGUUCUUCUAAUAAAUUAAAAAUUGUGAUCUUUUA
This 528-nucleotide small RNA is filed under the name Atta cephalotes. RNAcentral describes it as "sRNA LOC105619934". The record is from RNAcentral. Lineage: Eukaryota; Metazoa; Arthropoda; Insecta; Hymenoptera; Formicidae.